CUACGGGUCGCUCCAGUGGGGAAUAUUGGACAAUGGGCGAAAGCCUGAUCCAGCAAUACCGCGUGUGUGAAGAAGGCCUGAGGGUUGUAAAGCACUUUCAAUAGGAAGGAAUACCUAUCGGUUAAUACCCGGUAGACUGACAUUACCUAUACAAGAAGCACCGGCUAACUCCGUGCCAGCAGCCGCGGUAAUACGGAGGGUGCAAGCGUUAAUCGGAAUUACUGGGCGUAAAGCGUGCGUAGGCGGUUAUUUAAGUCAGAUGUGAAAGCCCUGGGCUUAACCUGGGAACUGCAUUUGAUACUGGAUGACUAGAGUUGAGUAGAGGAGAGUGGAAUUUCAGGUGUAGCGGUGAAAUGCGUAGAGAUCUGAAGGAACACCAGUGGCGAAGGCGGCUCUCUGGACUCAAACUGACGCUGAGGUACGAAAGCGUGGGUAGCAAACAGGAUUAGAUACCCGUGUAGUC
Molecule: ribosomal RNA, 463 nt
Filed under: uncultured bacterium
Lineage: Bacteria
Description: partial 16S ribosomal RNA
Rfam family: Bacterial small subunit ribosomal RNA
Source: RNAcentral